GGUUGAACUCGGAUUAGGUAGGGAUACCCGCUGAACUUAAGCAUAUCAA
This 49-nucleotide ribosomal RNA is filed under the name Micraspis acicola. RNAcentral's name for it is "partial 28S ribosomal RNA". The record is from RNAcentral. Lineage: Eukaryota; Fungi; Ascomycota; Leotiomycetes; Micraspidales; Micraspidaceae.